AGUGAACGCUGGCGGCAGGCCUAAUACAUGCAAGUCGAACGGCAGCACAGUAAGAGCUCGCUUUUACGGGUGGCGACGGACGGAUGGGUGAGGCAUAGAUCGCAAUCCACUUUUUCGUGGGGGACAACGUAGGGCAACUUAUGCUAACACCGCAUAUGUUCUACGGGAUAAAUCAAGAGUUCAUGGGAGCCUGCGUGUCUCAAUUAGCUGAUGCCGGAUUAGCUAGUUGGCAGGGUAAAGGCCCACCAAGGCGACGAUCCGUAGCAGGUCUGAGAGGAUGAUCAGCCACACUGGAACUGAGACACGGUCCAGACUCCUACGGGAGGCAGCAGUAGGGAAUCUUGGGCAAUGGGCGCAAGCCUGAUCGAGCCAUGCCGCGUGAGUGAAGAAGGUCUUCGGGUUGUAAAGCCCUUUUAUUAGGGAAGAAAAGCUGCGGAUUAAUCCCCCGCUGUUCUGACGGUACCCAAAGAGUAAGCACCGGCUAACUUCGUG
Molecule: ribosomal RNA, 492 nt
Filed under: uncultured bacterium
Lineage: Bacteria
Description: partial 16S ribosomal RNA
Rfam family: Bacterial small subunit ribosomal RNA
Source: RNAcentral